AUGUGUAUUGAAAUAAAUCGAUUUAUUUCGAUUAGUAAAUGUAUGAAUGUAAUAUGCUUAAAUAGGAAAUUAGAAACAAGCCGUAGACUUAAGUUUGUAUGAAUAAUAAUUGUAUACAAUUGGAAUAGAUUCAAUGAAUGAAAUGCAAGGGAUGAUAUGUGCUAGAAACUAGCAAUAUGAAAUGAAGGACACUAAUAAGAGCUCUGGAGCAGAAUCUAACAUAAGUAUAGUUAUGAAAGUAACUUACUUAUUAUAAGGGCAUAGGAACGAUGUGUACGAUUACGUACAUACAUGAAUUAAACAUUUGCCAAGAUCCCAAAUGCGUUUAGGUUGUAGUAAGUAUAGUGGAUGAACAACUUGAAAGAGGUAAGAGUAGAAUGGUCUAGUUUGAAUGAGAAAGGUUUCGGGGACGAAACCUCUUUUAAGGGGGGUAGACUUGUAACGCCCCAAAAUUAUGCAAAUUAAUUAUGUUACUUAAGAUGUCUAGUCAUGUAUUAUUUUACCUAGUUAAGUAUGUAUAUGUUAGUAACUUGAUUAGAAGGAAGGUUAUAUGACAAAUAAAAUAUCUAAGUAAAUAGGAGGACUAAACUUGUUAAAAGGUUGAAAGUUUAAUAAAUAAAAGAAAAAAAUAAAAAACACACACCCGGGUGUGAUGGCGUGGAUCGAUCAGAGCAAAGGGGGGAGAAGACAAACCCUAACUUCAUGAAAUUCUCAAGAAUUGAAAGAGAUUAGGAGCCCAAACUAAUGCAUGAACUCGAAACCUCAAUCAUCUAAGCUUGUACAACAAGCGGUAAGUCGAAUUUUCUGUUUUGAAUGAAUUGUAGGAAGUGGGUUUACACCCAAUCAUGAAAUUAUGUGGAAAUUAUAUGUAAUAGAGGGUUAGGGUUUCAUAAUGGUUCGAAAUCUUUGCUUGAUUUCUGAUUGAUUGAAUGAUUUAAGUAUAUUACCCAAUUGUUGUGAAGAAAUCAUAAACCCAAUGUUUUGCAUGUAUGCUAUGAUCUUGAAUAGAGAUAGAAAAAUUAGUUAAGAUGGUGUAGGAUGGAAGAAAGCUAUGAACUUGAUUGAUUCUUGUUAGAUUAGAAGGUGAAUAAGAAGAGUUAUGCUAUAAAUACUUGUACACUAUGCUUAAUUAACGGUACGCCCACCAAGUGUAUGAUGAAAUGCCUAAGUGACGAUUUUAGAUGAAUUAUGUAUAAUGAUGGAUGGGAAAAAGUAUAGAAUGUAAUAAUGAAGAAUUAUAGU
This 1242-nucleotide long non-coding RNA is filed under the name Helianthus annuus (common sunflower). Lineage: Eukaryota; Viridiplantae; Streptophyta; Magnoliopsida; Asterales; Asteraceae. The record is from RNAcentral.